RNAcentral lists this ribosomal RNA (433 nucleotides) under uncultured bacterium. RNAcentral describes it as "partial 16S ribosomal RNA". It matches the Rfam family "Bacterial small subunit ribosomal RNA", at positions 29 to 507 of the family's 1533-position model. The record is from RNAcentral.
AACGAACGCUGGCGGCAUGCCUAACACAUGCAAGUCGAACGAGACCUUCGGGUCUAGUGGCGCACGGGUGCGUAACGCGUGGGAACCUGCCCUUAGGUUCGGAAUAACUCCCCGAAAGGGGUGCUAAUACCGGAUAAUGUCUUCGGACCAAAGAUUUAUCGCCUUUGGAUGGGCCCGCGUUGGAUUAGCUAGUUGGUAGGGUAAAAGCCUACCAAGGCGACGAUCCAUAGCUGGGCUGAGAGGAUGCGCAGCCACACUGGGAGUGAGACACGGCCCAGACUCCUACGGGAGGCAGCAGUGGGGAAUAGUGGACAAUGGGCGAAAGCCUGAACCAGCAAUGCCGCGUGAGUGAUGAAGGCCUUAGGGUUGUAAAGCUCUUUUACCCGGGAUGAUAAUGACAGUACCGGAAGAAUAAGCUCCGGCUAACUCCGUG